This is a long non-coding RNA of Solea senegalensis (Senegalese sole), 314 nucleotides long. RefSeq lists it as uncharacterized. The transcript is spliced from 3 exons. NCBI's taxonomy places the organism in Eukaryota, Metazoa, Chordata, Actinopteri, Pleuronectiformes, Soleidae. The record is from RefSeq and is a predicted model, not a curated record.
UUUCUCACAUAGGCUCUGCGCUCCUCUGCUCCCGCCGCUGACGGAGGCAUCCUCGCGAAGUGAAAGGUCCCAGAAAAGUCUGCCCAUUGACAACACACAGCGAUGAUUUGUGGUUUGCAUUCAAGAAACGAAAAGUUCUGUGUCGGGCCUCCUGACUGCGGCAUUGUCUGGAACAGAGGGGGCAUUCUGUCGCCGCCCUCAUGGCGUGGUACUGCCAAUGCAGCUGGAGCUUCUCCUGAGUGGGGAACGCCAGGCUGCACCUGCUGCAACGGAACCGGUAACCAUGGCGAUCAGAGAAGGAAGGGGGAUCGCUA